GUGUCAGGGGCAUCAGAGAACUCUGGAACGACCAAUGCUGCAGGUUGUAUCUGGACUUGCUCUGCUGUCAUCUGUCACCAACUUCCCUGUGGUGGGGAAGUCACCCGACAGAGAACACCAGAACUGUGCCCCGUGACUCCUCCUCCCGCCUGGGGCUAGAAACACCUCCAGCACGGGUAGGAUGACAUCAUCCCACACUCCUGGGACUGAGAUGCAGAGAGAGUCACGUACUGUCUAGACUGCUUGUCCAGUGGAUCCUGAGAGGGACUGCAGGGCAGCUAGCAGGCCUGCAGGGAUGGGCCCACGCCAGGAAGGAGAGUGCCCGGGGCAUCAGGACCCCACUGCAGCAUUGGGACUUUCUCCUGCCAGCAAUCAAAAGAUUUUCUAUCUGUGAGACGGAGAAUGGUAGAAGAGAAGCUAUGUUUUGGAUUAAGUGGGGCCUGUCUAGGGAGGGGAGGGGAAUGAAAGAGAAAAGAGGUGGCCCCAAUUUUCUAAGGUAGGAUAGAAUAUUAAAUAAGGUCCCUGUGGCCAAUAUCAUCUUACAGCCCAGGAAACACCUCUGGGGCCUGCAGGAUGUGAGGUGGCAGAACAGGGCAGCAGCUCGAGGCAGUGCUGCUGUGGAAAGGGGAGGCAAGUGCCAUUAAAUUCCACUGUGUGCCAACCACGAGGGCUUGUCCUGGGCCAGGUCCCUAAUAUGUGGGGACUCAUGAAUCCUCAUAGCAUCUGUGGUGGAUGUAACUGUCGCCACUUCACAAAUGGGCACACGGAGGCUGUGAGAUCUUGGCUACCCACCCGAGGUCACACACCUGCAAAGAGGCAGAUGCAUUUCCCAGCCACCAUGCAGAUUGCCAAGGUCCUGCCAUGCCCCUUGGGAGGUUUGCCCUGGGAACAGUCCUGGAGGCUUGUUUCUCUGCCUUCAGGGGCAGCAUGCAUCCCUGCUGGAAACUGAAUGUCUGUGUCCCCCUAAAUUCAUAUAUUGAAACCAAAUUCCCUAGGUGAUGGUAUUAGGAGGUGGAGCCUUUGGGGGUGAUUAGGUUAUGAGGGUGGAGCCCUCAUGAAUGGGAUUAGUGCCGUUGUAAAAGAGGCACAGUGGCUCACGCCUGUAAUCCCAGCAUUUUGGGAGGCUGAGGCCAGAGGAUCCCUUGAGUUCAGGAGUUCAAGACCAGCCUCGGCAAUAUAGUGAGACCCUGUAUCUACCAAAAUUCAAAAAAAUUAGCUGGGCAUGGUGGCAUGUGCCUGCAGUCCCAGCUAUUCUGGAGGCUGAGGCAGGAGGAUCACUUGAGCCAAGGAGAUGGAGGCUGCAGUGAGCAGUGAUCACACUACUGCACUCCAGCCUGGGCAACAGAGUGAGAUCCUGUCUCAAAAAAAUAAAAAUAAAAAAUAAAAGAGGCUCCAGAGAGCUCCCUCACCUCUUUUACCAUGUGAGGACACAGACGACCAAGUAGGCAGAGAGCAAAGUGGGCCUCAACAGAAUUCAACCUUGCAGGGACACUGAUCUCAGACUUCCAGCCUCUAGAAGUGUGAGAAAUAAAUUUCUGUUGCUUGUAACCACCCAGUUUAUGGCCUCCUGGAUGGACUAAGGCAGUCCCCUUCAAGGAAGAGCCAAGUAAGUCCUGACCACUGCCUUGUAGAAAUGGCUUUGGAGGCUGGUCCUGCUAGUACCAUAACUCAAGGAAGAAGGAAAUUCUAGCUCUUCUAGGCCAGUGGUUCUCAGCACGUGGACCAGCAGCAUCCUUUGAGAAUUUGCUAAAAAUAUUUUGGAUUUAAUAGGUCUACAGUGGGGCCUGAUGUUUGGCCUUUCCAGAUGCUGCUGGUGCAGCUGACCUGGACACCACACUCUGACAACCACAGCCCUGGAGACUAGAUUAGACGCUCUGAGCAAACUUCAUCACCUGGGCCAAGAAACAGGCUUUGAAGGCCAGAUAAACCCCACUAAGGACAUGGCCUGCCCCCUCCUCUCCCUGGAGGAAGCUGAGCCAGGGCUCCUGCUGACUUUCUAAGGCUGUCUGGGCAAACCCUCAUGUCUCCAGACCCCAAGGCUUGAGCACUGUCGACAGUGCCCUGUCACCAGCCCCAGGCCACAGUGAGCCACUAAAACCCAAAGCUGGAAGAUGCUCGGGGCAGCAGCUGUGGUGCACACUGUACCAGUACCACCGCCAGAAAGUGGAAGGGACUCAUCUCCAA
Molecule: long non-coding RNA, 2184 nt
Organism: Homo sapiens (human)
Lineage: Eukaryota; Metazoa; Chordata; Mammalia; Primates; Hominidae
Source: Ensembl